Molecule: non-coding RNA, 94 nt
Filed under: Legionella tucsonensis
Lineage: Bacteria; Pseudomonadati; Pseudomonadota; Gammaproteobacteria; Legionellales; Legionellaceae
Description: TPP sequence
Rfam family: TPP riboswitch aptamer (THI element)
About the family: Vitamin B(1) in its active form thiamin pyrophosphate (TPP) is an essential coenzyme that is synthesised by coupling of pyrimidine and thiazole moieties in bacteria. The previously detected thiamin-regulatory element, thi box was extended, resulting in a new, highly conserved RNA secondary structure, the THI element, which is widely distributed in eubacteria and also occurs in some archaea.
Source: Rfam by way of RNAcentral
UUUGAUGGCGCGGGGUGUCGUGAUAAACGUCUGAGAAAUACCCGUUGAACUUGAUCUGGUUCGUACCAGCGUAAGAACGCCUUAGUCUGUAUUC